Molecule: ribosomal RNA, 701 nt
Filed under: uncultured Bacillus sp.
Lineage: Bacteria; Bacillati; Bacillota; Bacilli; Caryophanales; Bacillaceae
Description: bacterial SSU rRNA
Rfam family: Bacterial small subunit ribosomal RNA
Source: RNAcentral
GCUGGCGGCGUGCCUAUACAUGCAGUCGAGCGGAUGGAUUAAGAGCUUGCUCUUAUGAAGUUAGCGACGGACGGGUGAGUAACACGUGGGUAACCUGCCCAUAAGACUGGGAUAACUCCGGGAAACCGGGGCUAAUACCGGAUAACAUUUUGAACCGCAUGGUUCGAAAUUGAAAGGCGGCUUCGGCUGUCACUUAUGGAUGGACCCGCGUCGCAUUAGCUAGUUGGUGAGGUAACGGCUCACCAAGGCAACGAUGCGUAGCCGACCUGAGAGGGUGAUCGGCCACACUGGGACUGAGACACGGCCCAGACUCCUACGGGAGGCAGCAGUAGGGAAUCUUCCGCAAUGGACGAAAGUCUGACGGAGCAACGCCGCGUGAGUGAUGAAGGCUUUCGGGUCGUAAAACUCUGUUGUUAGGGAAGAACAAGUGCUAGUUGAAUAAGCUGGCACCUUGACGGUACCUAACCAGAAAGCCACGGCUAACUACGUGCCAGCAGCCGCGGUAAUACGUAGGUGGCAAGCGUUAUCCGGAAUUAUUGGGCGUAAAGCGCGCGCAGGUGGUUUCUUAAGUCUGAUGUGAAAGCCCACGGCUCAACCGUGGAGGGUCAUUGGAAACUGGGAGACUUGAGUGCAGAAGAGGAAAGUGGAAUUCCAUGUGUAGCGGUGAAAUGCGUAGAGAUAUGGAGGAACACCAGUGGCGA